RNAcentral lists this ribosomal RNA (855 nucleotides) under Phaeolus schweinitzii. RNAcentral's name for it is "eukaryotic LSU rRNA". It matches the Rfam family "Eukaryotic large subunit ribosomal RNA", at positions 66 to 915 of the family's 3401-position model. Lineage: Eukaryota; Fungi; Basidiomycota; Agaricomycetes; Polyporales; Phaeolaceae. The record is from RNAcentral.
UAACAAGGAUUCCCCUAGUAACUGCGAGUGAAGCGGGAAGAGCUCAAAUUUGAAAUCGGGCGGUCGAGAGGCCUCCCCGAGUUGUAGUCUGGAGAAGCGCUUUCGGCGCCGGACCGUGUACAAGUCCCCUGGAACGGGGCGUCGUAGAGGGUGAGAAUCCCGUCUCUGACACGGACGCCCGGUGCCCUGUGAUGCGCUCUCGAAGAGUCGAGUUGUUUGGGAAUGCAGCUCAAAACGGGUGGUAAAUUCCAUCUAAAGCUAAAUAUUGGCGAGAGACCGAUAGCGAACAAGUACCGUGAGGGAAAGAUGAAAAGCACUUUGAAAAGAGAGUUAAACAGUACGUGAAAUUGCUGAAAGGGAAACGCUUGAAGCCAGUCGCGUCGGCCGGGACUCAGCCCUCACCAGGCGCACUUCCCGGUCGACGGGCCAGCAUCGAUUUCGACCGUCGGAAGAGGGCGGGAGGAACGUGGCACCCUCGGGUGUGUUAUAGCCUCCCGUCGGACGCGACGGCCGGGAUCGAGGAACUCGGCACGCCUUCACGGUCGGGGCUUCGGCCCACGCAUCGUGCCCAGGAUGCUGGCGUAAUGGCUUUAAACGACCCGUCUUGAAACACGGACCAAGGAGUCCAACGUGCCUGCGAGUGUUUGGGUGGAAAACCCGAGCGCGCAGCGAAAGCGAAGGUCGAGAUCCCCGUCGCGGGGAGCAUCGACGCCCGGACCGGCGACGGCUCCGCGGUGGAGCACGCACGUUGGGACCCGAAAGAUGGUGAACUAUGCCUGAAUAGGGCGAAGCCAGAGGAAACUCUGGUGGAGGCUCGUAGCGAUUCUGACGUGCAAAUCGAUCGUCGAAUUUGGG